This is a long non-coding RNA of Gallus gallus (chicken), 790 nucleotides long. Lineage: Eukaryota; Metazoa; Chordata; Aves; Galliformes; Phasianidae. The record is from Ensembl.
CUUCCAGUACAUGAAGGGGGCUUACAGGAAAGCUGGGGAGGGACUUUUUACAAGGGCAGGUAGUGUCAGGACAAGGGGAAAUAGCUAUAAACUGGAAGAGGGUAGAUUUAGACUAGAUAUUAGGAAGAAAUUGAAGAAAUUCUUUACUGUGAGGGUGGUGAUACACUAGAGCAUGUUGCUCAGUGAGGUUAUGGAUGCCGUGUGCCAAGAAGAAUUCAAGGCCAGGCUGGAUGGCGCUUUGAGCAACCUGGUCUAGUGGGAGGUGUCCCUGCCUAUAGCAGGGGAAUUAGAACUAGAUGACCUUAAAGGUCCCUUCCAACCCAAACCAUUCUAUGAUUCUAUGAAACAUGCGUUGCUGACAGCAGAUGAAGUGUUGGGCUUCACUCAUCCCUCACUCAGUGGACUUUGUCAUAGGCGAAUGUGGGGGAAGCUCAGAUGGACUCCACAUUCUGUCUUCAUCUCAAAGCGCAGAGCCUCGGGAACGUAAAGUGAAGGAGACUAUUAAACAGUACAACACAUACAGAAGACCCAAGGAAGAGAAGACUCAGGAUCUUGGAAUGGGUAACAGUCUCUCAGCUGUUUGUAAAGCAUUUGAUUUCAGUGUGCAUAAAGGAACCUCUACAUUUUUCAACAAUUUAAAUAUGCUUACCCUUUCAGCUUGUAAGUCUGCAGUAUUUGUGAUUUUGCAGCAAUGCUAUGAGCUCUGAAGGCGCCGAGUACUUUGAACCUGAUCCAAAAAAAUUAAUCAUAUGCUUAAAUUUACAUAAAAGAAUGUCCAGUUAGAUUCCAA